AAUUAAAAUUUUGAUUUGUGAUAUCAAAGAUGUAAUAUAUUUUACUUUAAAUUAUUAAUUUA
Molecule: transfer RNA, 62 nt
Filed under: Peltodytes quadratus
Lineage: Eukaryota; Metazoa; Arthropoda; Insecta; Coleoptera; Haliplidae
Description: tRNA-His
Source: RNAcentral